AGAGUUUGAUCAUGGCUCAGAUUGAACGCUGGCGGCAUGCCUUACACAUGCAAGUCGAACGGCAGCAUGAUCUAGCUUGCUAGAUUGAUGGCGAGUGGCGAACGGGUGAGUAAUACAUCGGAACGUGCCCUGUAGUGGGGGAUAACUAGUCGAAAGAUUAGCUAAUACCGCAUACGACCUGAGGGUGAAAGUGGGGGACCGCAAGGCCUCAUGCUAUAGGAGCGGCCGAUGUCUGAUUAGCUAGUUGGUGAGGUAAAGGCUCACCAAGGCGACGAUCAGUAGCUGGUCUGAGAGGACGAUCAGCCACACUGGGACUGAGACACGGCCCAGACUCCUACGGGAGGCAGCAGUGGGGAAUUUUGGACAAUGGGCGAAAGCCUGAUCCAGCAAUGCCGCGUGUGUGAAGAAGGCCUUCGGGUUGUAAAGCACUUUUGUCCGGAAAGAAAUGGCUCUGGUUAAUACCUGGGGUCGAUGACGGUACCGGAAGAAUAAGGACCGGCUAACUACGUGCCAGCAGCCGCGGUAAUACGUAGGGUCCAAGCGUUAAUCGGAAUUACUGGGCGUAAAGCGUGCGCAGGCGGUUGUGCAAGACCGAUGUGAAAUCCCCGAGCUUAACUUGGGAAUUGCAUUGGUGACUGCACGGCUAGAGUGUGUCAGAGGGGGGUAGAAUUCCACGUGUAGCAGUGAAAUGCGUAGAGAUGUGGAGGAAUACCGAUGGCGAAGGCAGCCCCCUGGGAUAACACUGACGCUCAUGCACGAAAGCGUGGGGAGCAAACAGGAUUAGAUACCCUGGUAGUCCACGCC
RNAcentral lists this ribosomal RNA (804 nucleotides) under uncultured bacterium. RNAcentral describes it as "bacterial SSU rRNA". It matches the Rfam family "Bacterial small subunit ribosomal RNA", at positions 8 to 801 of the family's 1533-position model. The record is from RNAcentral.